GCCGUCGUGGCUCAGUGGUAGAGCGGUCGCCUCGUAAGCGACAGGUCGAGGGUUCAACUCCCUCCGACGGCU
This 72-nucleotide transfer RNA is filed under the name Methanosarcinales archaeon. Its description in RNAcentral is "tRNA-Thr". It matches the Rfam family "tRNA". Rfam says of the family: Transfer RNA (tRNA) molecules are approximately 80 nucleotides in length. The record is from RNAcentral. Lineage: Archaea; Methanobacteriati; Methanobacteriota; Methanomicrobia; Methanosarcinales.